This is a long non-coding RNA of Lolium perenne, 1458 nucleotides long. RefSeq lists it as uncharacterized. The record is from RefSeq and is a predicted model, not a curated record. Lineage: Eukaryota; Viridiplantae; Streptophyta; Magnoliopsida; Poales; Poaceae.
UUAGUGGCCCGAUGCCCUGCUACAGGUCUGACUCCCCGGCAGACCGGCACCCAGUCUCUGCGCUGUGCAUAGUGGAGAGCCGUUGUGCUCGUCCGUUUCUGUGAUGGGCCCGUUGAAUUUGGCAUGUAGCGUCGUGGCAGCUUCUUCCCGUGUCGAUCCAUCCCCCUCUACCUCCCUGCAUCGCGCGGAGUCCAGUGGCGGCCGUCCAUUUCAUUCGGCACCCACCUCCCCCGCCAUCCCCUCCCUCUCCGCCGCGCCUCCACCCUUCCAUCUGCCACCAAUCCCUGCCCAUCACGGUGGCCGGCAGCGCCCAGCGGUUCCCCUACAUCGCACGGAUUCUGGUGGCGGCCUGCCCCUUUCCUGCAUCUCGAGGAUCCGGUGACGCCCUCAAUCCAAGAUUCUGGAUUGGCGAGAGAGAAUUGGUCGCAGUAGCCUGGGUGGCGGCGGGCCGGAGCACGCAGGGUCGCGGCGUCGUGGCUGAUCUCCGUGAGGAGCACGGAUGCGGAGCUUGAGCUGGGAGCAUCGAUGGGGAUGAACGCCGGCGUGCCCCCUCCACCUCCCGCCGGCGCGGUCGCCUCCAUCUACUGCAGGCGCGCCGCCUCCAUCUCCCUCCGGCGCGGCCACGUACAACUCGUGCCACCGCGGUUGCUGAAGUCCAACGCCCUCUGAACUUCCACGCCAGCGACUGUCCUGUCGCCCAUCAGUCCACCACGCGCCCACGGUGGUAGUCCGAUGGUCCGCCCUGGAGCUGGAGGCCGUCCGGUGGUGUGUGCCCAACAGUUCACCUGCGCCUCCCGCCGCCGGAGUGAGGUGUCUAUGCCUUGCCCGAGUGCCCGACCAUCUUCCAUGUUCCCCUGUGGUCACCUCCCAUCUCGAUCAGAGGUACUGACGCAGUUCAGAGUGGUGUAAAGUCGACAGUUAACCAUGCUGCAGUUCAGUUUAUCAGGUGGUUGUGAUUUUUCGAUGUUCUUUUGGGCUACAUCAAUUCACCAUUUGCUGGAGGCUACAGUUGAUGCAUCACCUGGUGGUGUUGCAGUUCAGUUUGUCAGGUGAUUGUGAUUUGUGGAUGUUCUUUUGGGCUACAUCGAUUCACCAUUUGCUGGAGGCUACGGUUGAUGCAUCACCUGGCGGUUUUGAACUGGUGUUGUUUUGCUGGUUUUGCAUCUAGGGCUGCUAUACGUGUGCUUCCAAGAAGUUGAGAUACAGUUAGUUACCUGACGCUAAAUUAAUACAGUUAGCUCACUGCCAAUGCUGUGCUACUGAAGUAGUGGAUACAGUGAGUCUGAGAGUCACUGCUAACUUGUAAUGAUUUUUCUCUUAGACAUCUGAUUUCAUGUUUUUUUUUUGAAACGAAUCUGAUUUCAUGUUACUACUGCAUCUUUGGGCAUUGGUUUCUUGUUCUUCAGUCUACCUGAUCAUUGGAUUGGAGAUUUUGAUUAUUACAUUACAAUGUUCUAA